GCGAGUGUAGUUCAGUGGCAGAACACCAGCUUCCCAAGCUGGAAAUGCGGGUCCGAUUCCCGUCACUCGCU
This 71-nucleotide transfer RNA is filed under the name Candidatus Opitulatrix cubana. RNAcentral's name for it is "tRNA-Gly". It matches the Rfam family "tRNA". Rfam says of the family: Transfer RNA (tRNA) molecules are approximately 80 nucleotides in length. Their secondary structure includes four short double-helical elements and three loops (D, anti-codon, and T loops). Lineage: Bacteria; Bacillati; Actinomycetota; Actinomycetes; Bifidobacteriales; Bifidobacteriaceae. The record is from RNAcentral.